RNAcentral lists this ribosomal RNA (847 nucleotides) under uncultured Lactobacillus sp. Its description in RNAcentral is "bacterial SSU rRNA". It matches the Rfam family "Bacterial small subunit ribosomal RNA", at positions 273 to 1111 of the family's 1533-position model. The record is from RNAcentral. Lineage: Bacteria; Bacillati; Bacillota; Bacilli; Lactobacillales; Lactobacillaceae.
GCAGCAGUAGGGAAUCUUCCUGAGAGGGUAAUCGGCCACACUGGGACUGAGACACGGCCCAGACUCCUACGGGAGGCAGCAGUAGGGAAUCUUCCACAAUGGACGAAAGUCUGAUGGAGCAACGCCGCGUGAGUGAAGAAGGUUUUCGGAUCGUAAAACUCUGUUGUUGGAGAAGAAUGUAUCUGAUAGUAACUGAUCAGGUAGUGACGGUAUCCAACCAGAAAGCCACGGCUAACUACGUGCCAGCAGCCGCGGUAAUACGUAGGUGGCAAGCGUUGUCCGGAUUUAUUGGGCGUAAAGCGAGCGCAGGCGGUUUCUUAAGUCUGAUGUGAAAGCCUUCGGCUCAACCGAAGAAGUGCAUCGGAAACUGGGAAACUUGAGUGCAGAAGAGGACAGUGGAACUCCAUGUGUAGCGGUGAAAUGCGUAGAUAUAUGGAAGAACACCAGUGGCGAAGGCGGCUGUCUGGUCUGUAACUGACGCUGAGGCUCGAAAGCAUGGGUAGCAAACAGGAUUAGAUACCCUGGUAGUCCAUGCCGUAAACGAUGAGUGCUAGGUGUUGGAGGGUUUCCGCCCUUCAGUGCCGCAGCUAACGCAUUAAGCACUCCGCCUGGGGAGUACGACCGCAAGGUUGAAACUCAAAGGAAUUGACGGGGGCCCGCACAAGCGGUGGAGCAUGUGGUUUAAUUCGAAGCAACGCGAAGAACCUUACCAGGUCUUGACAUCCUUUGACCACUCUAGAGAUAGAGCUUUCCCUUCGGGGACAAAGUGACAGGUGGUGCAUGGUUGUCGUCAGCUCGUGUCGUGAGAUGUUGGGUUAAGUCCCGCAACGAGCGCAACCCUUAUUAC